CUGCCUUUUGCAUUCUUCGUGGUUGUUGUACUGUGCAAACAAUACCAUGCUGCUGAAUUAUGCAUGAUUUUUUCAAAUACAAUUUCACCUCCAUUUACGGACUUCAGUAGUGAUCAAAGCACGGCACAUUGUAUCUCAUGCUGCUAAGUUCUGAGAUGACCAUACACGUCUCUUAUGAUUGCGCAGGAAUUGGAGAAAUCGAAGCCUGUCAUACUAACCGGUGAUCUUAAUUGUGCACAUCAGGAGAUUGUUAUACAUGACCCUGCUGUGAGUAACCAUCUGUUUGAAUUUUUUAUGCUGAAUGUAUUGUUAAUUUUUAGUCUCUCACUUAAUUGUAUCCUUAUUUGGUUGUUUGUUUUAUGCUAUAAACACCUUGAUCCCUGUAAUAGAGUAGAAUGACUGAGAAGUUUAGCCAUGGUUUUGGACCCAUGUUAGGUCUGAGAUUUCUGUUCCAGUUUUUUUAGAAAGCUUGAAGAGUGGAGAAAAUUGUUGCCCAAAGUUGUGAGAAACCGAUAAACCUUACAUUGCAUUGUCAUGGUGUUGUUCUUUUAGCAACCUGUACUCCUUGUUGCUCAUAUCUAUAUGUAUAUGCUCGGUGCCCUCCAUCAGAUUGGAAUAUGUGGUAAACCGUAAACAUUACCAGUUUUGCUUUAGCUACUUCACCUAUCUUUUCUACAUGGUCUUUAACCCAUUUUUAAUACCUGUUUUCCAGGGAAAUCGUAGAAGUGCAGGCUUCACAAACGAGGAAACAUAAUCAUUUGGGACCAAUUUUUUGUCCAAAGGGUUUGUUGAUACGUUUUGGAAACAACAUCCUAAUGUUGUUGCCUAUAGUUACUGGGGGUACAAGCAUAAUGCCCGGAAGACAAACAAAGGUUGGCGCCUGGAUUACUUUCUUGUGUCCGAAUCAAUCGCAGAAAAAGUGCAUGAUUCAUAUAUUCUUCCGGACAUCUCUACCAGUGAUCACAGUCCCCUUGGUCUCGUGCUGAAGCUGUAGGCUGUAUCACAGGCUAUGCCAAACAUUCAGUCUGAAGCCUGUGCCAUAUUUCUCAGACAGCGAUGCUUAUUCCUGAUGGUUUCUGGUUCGUGCAGAUCCCUGGCAGGAACAAUGACUUUUGUCAGACUAUUAGUGAAAUAAGGCUUUGUAACGCACUGAGCAGAUUUGACUAUUAGUGGACAACUUGCUGUUAGCAAAGCUGCACCUUUGUAGUGUAAAUAUGCGGCCAUAUCUUGUGCUGCACUUGUGCAGCUCAAUAUGAGCAGCGGGGGAAGCUCAUUACCUGGUUAUGGAAUUAUGAUACUGACCUUAACCUGUUGAGGUCUUUAAACU
This is a long non-coding RNA of Zea mays, 1327 nucleotides long. RefSeq lists it as uncharacterized. NCBI's taxonomy places the organism in Eukaryota, Viridiplantae, Streptophyta, Magnoliopsida, Poales, Poaceae. The record is from RefSeq and is a predicted model, not a curated record. The transcript is spliced from 2 exons.